ACAUGCAAGUCGAGCGGCAGCGCGGGGGCAACCCUUGGCGGCGAGCGGCGGACGGGUGAGGAACACAUCGGAAUCUACCUUGUCUGGGGGAUAACGUAGGGAAACUUACGCUAAUACCGCAUACGACCUACGGGUGAAAGCGGCGGACCGCAAGGCGUCGCGCGAUUGGAUGAGCCGAUGUCCGAUUAGCUAGUUGGCGGGGUAAAGGCCCACCAAGGCGACGAUCGGUAGCUGGUCUGAGAGGACGACCAGCCACACUGGAACUGAGACACGGUCCAGACUCCUACGGGAGGCAGCAGUGGGGAAUAUUGGACAAUGGGCGUAAGCCUGAUCCAGCCAUGCCGCGUGGUGAAGAAGGCCUUCGGGUUGUAAAGCCCUUUUGUCCGGAAAGAAAAGCAUUCGGUUAAUACCCGGGUGUGAUGACGGUACCGGAAGAAUAAGCACCGGCUAACUUCGUG
This 458-nucleotide ribosomal RNA is filed under the name uncultured bacterium. Its description in RNAcentral is "bacterial SSU rRNA". It matches the Rfam family "Bacterial small subunit ribosomal RNA", at positions 53 to 507 of the family's 1533-position model. The record is from RNAcentral.